RNAcentral lists this ribosomal RNA (495 nucleotides) under uncultured bacterium. RNAcentral's name for it is "partial 16S ribosomal RNA". It matches the Rfam family "Bacterial small subunit ribosomal RNA", at positions 28 to 507 of the family's 1533-position model. The record is from RNAcentral.
GAUGAACGCUGGCGGCGUGCCUAAUACAUGCAAGUCGAACGCUGAAGGAGGAGCUUGCUCUUCUGGAUGAGUUGCGAACGGGUGAGUAACGCGUAGGUAACCUGCCUGGUAGCGGGGGAUAACUAUUGGAAACGAUAGCUAAUACCGCAUGACAACAGUUAUUGCAUGAUAACUGUUUAAAAGGGGCAACUGCUCCACUACCAGAUGGACCUGCGUUGUAUUAGCUAGUUGGUGAGGUAACGGCUCACCAAGGCGACGAUACAUAGCCGACCUGAGAGGGGGAUCGGCCACACUGGGACUGAGACACGGCCCAGACUCCUACGGGAGGCAGCAGUAGGGAAUCUUCGGCAAUGGACGGAAGUCUGACCGAGCAACGCCGCGUGAGUGAAGAAGGUUGUCGGAUCGUAAAGCUCUGUUGUAAGAGAAGAACGAGUGUGAGAGUGGAAAGUUCACACUGUGACGGUAUCUUACCAGAAAGGGACGGCUAACUACGUG